CCUACGGGAGGCAGCAGUAGGGAAUAUUGCUCAAUGGGGGAAACCCUGAAGCAGCAACGCCGCGUGGAUGAUGAAGGUUUUCGGAUUGUAAACUCCUUUUGUUAGAGAAGAUAAUGACGGUAUCUAACGAAUAAGCACCGGCUAACUCCGUGCCAGCAGCCGCGGUAAUACGGCGGGUGCAAGCGUUACUCGGAAUAACUGGGCGUAAAGAGCGCGUAGGCGGGAGAGCAAGUCAGAUGUGAAAUCCUAGGGCUUAACCAUGGAACUGCAUUUGAGACUGUUAUUCUAGAGUAUGGGAGAGGUAGGUGGAAUUCUUGGUGUAGGGGUAAAAUCCGUAGAGAUCAAGAGGAAUACUCAUGGCGAAGGCGACCUGCUAGAACAUAACUGACGCUGAGGCGCGAAAGCGUGGGGAGCAAACAGGAUUAGAUACCCUUGUAGUC
RNAcentral lists this ribosomal RNA (440 nucleotides) under uncultured bacterium. Its description in RNAcentral is "partial 16S ribosomal RNA". It matches the Rfam family "Bacterial small subunit ribosomal RNA", at positions 338 to 795 of the family's 1533-position model. The record is from RNAcentral.